AGUAGGGAAUUUUCGGCAAUGGGGGAAACCCUGACCGAGCGACGCCGCGUGAGUGAAGAAGGCCUUCGGGUUGUAAAGCUCUGUUGUAAGGGAAGAAUAGCAGUGAUAGGGAAUGAUCAUUGUGUGACGGUACCUUACCAGCAAGCCACGGCUAACUACGUGCCAGCAGCCGCGGUAAUACGUAGGUGGCAAGCGUUAUCCGGAAUUAUUGGGCGUAAAGGGAGCGCAGGCGGUUUAUUAAGUCUGAGGUGAAAAUUCGGGGCUCAACCCCGUAUUGCCUUAGAAACUGGUAGACUAGAGUGCAGGAGAGGUGAGUGGAAUUCCAUGUGUAGCGGUAAAAUGCGUAGAUAUAUGGAGGAACACCAGUGGCGAAGGCGGCUCACUGGCCUGUAACUGACGCUGAGGCUCGAAAGCGUGGGGAGCAAAUAGGAUUAGAUACCCUAGUAGUCCACGCCGUAAACGAUGGAUACUAAGUGUUGGAGUAGAACUUCAGUGCUGUAGUUAACGCAAUAA
This 513-nucleotide ribosomal RNA is filed under the name uncultured Bacillota bacterium. RNAcentral describes it as "bacterial SSU rRNA". It matches the Rfam family "Bacterial small subunit ribosomal RNA", at positions 353 to 863 of the family's 1533-position model. The record is from RNAcentral. Lineage: Bacteria; Bacillati; Bacillota.